CUCGUAGGCGGUUCGUCGCGUCCGGUGUGAAAGUCCAUCGCUUAACGGUGGAUCUGCGCCGGGUACGGGCGGGCUGGAGUGCGGUAGGGGAGACUGGAAUUCCCGGUGUAACGGUGGAAUGUGUAGAUAUCGGGAAGAACACCAAUGGCGAAGGCAGGUCUUUGGGCCGUUACUGACGCUGAGGAGCGAAAGCGUGGGAGCGAACA
This 206-nucleotide ribosomal RNA is filed under the name uncultured bacterium. Its description in RNAcentral is "partial 16S ribosomal RNA". It matches the Rfam family "Bacterial small subunit ribosomal RNA", at positions 568 to 774 of the family's 1533-position model. The record is from RNAcentral.